Long non-coding RNA from Solanum dulcamara, 219 nucleotides. RefSeq lists it as uncharacterized. Lineage: Eukaryota; Viridiplantae; Streptophyta; Magnoliopsida; Solanales; Solanaceae. The transcript has 3 exons. The record is from RefSeq and is a predicted model, not a curated record.
AGGUUGAGACUUUGGGUAGUGUAUGCGUGUUGUGUUGCGAAUAAAUGCCAAAGCAUGGAAACAUUCUGAGGCUGUUCGAAAGGGAAAAGCUCUGAUUUCUUGAGGUGGAGAACGUAUGGUCGGCCUACAGCUUGGGAGCAGCAAGGAAGGGUAACGAGCAGUCCACUACUUUUCAGCGCGAUUAAGGAACUUCCAAGGCUAGUUUUUGCAAGUUUUGAA